This 73-nucleotide transfer RNA is filed under the name Fictibacillus macauensis ZFHKF-1. It matches the Rfam family "tRNA". From Rfam's summary of the family: Transfer RNA (tRNA) molecules are approximately 80 nucleotides in length. Their secondary structure includes four short double-helical elements and three loops (D, anti-codon, and T loops). RNAcentral also lists the same sequence under 2 other names. The record is from Rfam by way of RNAcentral. Lineage: Bacteria; Bacillati; Bacillota; Bacilli; Caryophanales; Fictibacillaceae.
GGCUCCGUAGCUCAGUGGAUAGAGCGUCGGUUUCCUAAACCGUGCGUCGCAGGUUCAAUUCCUGCCGGGGCCG